GUGGGGAAUAUUGGACAAUGGGCGGAAGCCUGAUCCAGCAACGCCGCGUGAGGGAUGACGGCCUUCGGGUUGUAAACCUCUUUCAGCACAGACGAAGCGCAAGUGACGGUAUGUGCAGAAGAAGGACCGGCCAACUACGUGCCAGCAGCCGCGGUAAUACGUAGGGUCCGAGCGUUGUCCGGAAUUAUUGGGCGUAAAGGGCUCGUAGGCGGUCUGUCGCGUCGGGAGUGAAAACCAGGUGCUUAACACCUGGCCUGCUUUCGAUACGGGCAGACUAGAGGUACUCAGGGGAGAAUGGAAUUCCUGGUGUAGCGGUGAAAUGCGCAGAUAUCAGGAGGAACACCGGUGGCGAAGGCGGUUCUCUGGGAGUAUCCUGACGCUGAGGAGCGAAAGUGUGGGGAGCGAA
This 406-nucleotide ribosomal RNA is filed under the name uncultured bacterium. Its description in RNAcentral is "bacterial SSU rRNA". It matches the Rfam family "Bacterial small subunit ribosomal RNA", at positions 354 to 772 of the family's 1533-position model. The record is from RNAcentral.